AAUGGGCGAAAGCCUGAUCCAGCAAUGCCGCGUGAGUGAUGAAGGCCUUAGGGUUGUAAAGCUCUUUUACCCGAGAUGAUAAUGACAGUAUCGGGAGAAUAAGCUCCGGCUAACUCCGUGCCAGCAGCCGCGGUAAUACGGAGGGAGCUAGCGUUGUUCGGAAUUACUGGGCGUAAAGCGCACGUAGGCGGCGAUUUAAGUCAGAGGUGAAAGCCCGGGGCUCAACCCCGGAACUGCCUUUGAGACUGGAUUGCUAGAAUCUUGGAGAGGCGAGUGGAAUUCCGAGUGUAGAGGUGAAAUUCGUAGAUAUUCGGAAGAACACCAGUGGCGAAGGCGGCUCGCUGGACAAGUAUUGACGCUGAGGUGCGAAAGCGUGGGGAGCAAA
RNAcentral lists this ribosomal RNA (385 nucleotides) under uncultured bacterium. Its description in RNAcentral is "bacterial SSU rRNA". It matches the Rfam family "Bacterial small subunit ribosomal RNA", at positions 370 to 772 of the family's 1533-position model. The record is from RNAcentral.